RNAcentral lists this microRNA precursor (104 nucleotides) under Strigamia maritima. Its description in RNAcentral is "microRNA mir-137". The stretch from base 15 to 89 matches the Rfam family "mir-137 microRNA precursor family". Lineage: Eukaryota; Metazoa; Arthropoda; Chilopoda; Geophilomorpha; Linotaeniidae. The record is from RNAcentral.
GACGAGACAGUUGUGUUCGACAAGGGUAUUCUUGGGUGAGUAACACGGAACAUACGAACUGUUAUUGCUUGAGAAUACACGUGUCGGAGACGAAUUGGCGCCGG